RNAcentral lists this ribosomal RNA (923 nucleotides) under Clostridioides difficile. Its description in RNAcentral is "partial 23S ribosomal RNA". It matches the Rfam family "Bacterial large subunit ribosomal RNA", at positions 662 to 1589 of the family's 2925-position model. Lineage: Bacteria; Bacillati; Bacillota; Clostridia; Peptostreptococcales; Peptostreptococcaceae. The record is from RNAcentral.
GGAGCCGUAGCGAAAGCGAGUUUUAACUGAGCGUUCAGUUACUUGACGUAGACCCGAAACCGGGCGACCUACCCAUGAGCAGGAUGAAGCGAAAGUAAAAUUUCGUGGAGGUCCGAACCCACGAGCGUUGAAAAGCUCGGGGAUGACUUGUGGGUAGCGGUGAAAUUCCAAUCGAGCCCGGAGAUAGCUGGUUCUCCCCGAAAUAGCUUUAGGGCUAGCCUCAAGGUGAGAGAUACGGAGGUAGAGCACUGAAUGUCCUAGGGGGUAUUGCACCUACCGAAGACUAUCAAACUCCGAAUGCCGUCAUCUUAUACUUGGGAGUCAGACUGUGGGUGAUAAGAUUCAUAGUCGAAAGGGCAACAGCCCAGAUCGUCAGCUAAGGUCCCUAAAUGUAAGUUAAGUGGUAAAGGAUGUGGGAUUGCACAGACAACCAGGAUGUUGGCUUAGAAGCAGCCACUCAUUCAAAGAGUGCGUAAUAGCUCACUGGUCGAGUGAUCCUGCGCCGAAGAUUUCCGGGGCUAAAACUUACUACCGAAGCUACGGCAUCAGUAAUGAUGGGUAGGGGAGCUUCCCAUACGGGUUGAAGCAUGACCGUAAGGACAUGUGGACAGUAUGGGAGUGAGAAUGUUGGCAUGAGUAGCGAGAUGUGGGUGAGAAUCCCACAGGCCGUAAACCCAAGGUUUCCAGGGGAAGGUUCGUCCGCCCUGGGUUAGUCGGGACCUAAGCUGAGGCCGAAAGGCGUAGGUGAUGGACAACAGGUUGAUAUUCCUGUACUACCGAUAACCGUUUGAGAGAAGGGAUGACACAGUAGGAUAAGCUAAGCACACUGUUGGUUAUGUGUGCCCAAGCAUUGAGGCAGUCAAAGUAGGCAAAUCCGCUUUGAUAAUGCUGGGAUGUGAUGGGGAGCGAAAUUUAGUAGCGAA